Molecule: ribosomal RNA, 548 nt
Filed under: uncultured bacterium
Lineage: Bacteria
Description: bacterial SSU rRNA
Rfam family: Bacterial small subunit ribosomal RNA
Source: RNAcentral
UGGGGAAUUUUGGACAAUGGGCGCAAGCCUGAUCCAGCCAUGCCGCGUGUCUGAAGAAGGCCUUCGGGUUGUAAAGGACUUUUGUCAGGGAAGAAAAGGCUGUUGCUAAUAUCGACAGCUGAUGACGGUACCUGAAGAAUAAGCACCGGCUAACUACGUGCCAGCAGCCGCGGUAAUACGUAGGGUGCGAGCGUUAAUCGGAAUUACUGGGCGUAAAGCGAGCGCAGACGGUUACUUAAGCAGGAUGUGAAAUCCCCGGGCUCAACCUGGGAACUGCGUUCUGAACUGGGUGACUAGAGUGUGUCAGAGGGAGGUAGAAUUCCACGUGUAGCAGUGAAAUGCGUAGAGAUGUGGAGGAAUACCGAUGGCGAAGGCAGCCUCCUGGGAUAACACUGACGUUCAUGCUCGAAAGCGUGGGUAGCAAACAGGAUUAGAUACCCUGGUAGUCCACGCCCUAAACGAUGUCAAUUAGCUGUUGGGCAACUUGAUUGCUUAGUAGCGUAACUAACGCGUGAAAUUGACCGCCUGGGGAGUACGGUCGCAAGAUU